RNAcentral lists this unclassified non-coding RNA (237 nucleotides) under fungal sp. Its description in RNAcentral is "partial internal transcribed spacer region". The stretch from base 1 to 45 matches the Rfam family "Eukaryotic small subunit ribosomal RNA", at positions 1787 to 1831 of the family's 1831-position model. Lineage: Eukaryota; Fungi. The record is from RNAcentral.
AGUCGUAACAAGGUAACCGUAGGUGAACCUGCGGUUGGAUCAUUAACAAUGGUUUUCAAACCUUUUAUCUGUGCACUUUUUGCUACCUUGGAGAGCUGUGAGGCUCGAAGAGGUAGCGUCUGUUCAUCUCUUGCCGAGACUCUAGUCUCAGCUUGAGAAUUUUUAAACCAUGUAUUGAAUCGAGUCUUGAAUUUGUAUUAAAAUGAAAAACUUUUGACAACGGAUCUCUUGGCUCUC